GACGAACGCUGGCGGCGUGCCUAAUACAUGCAAGUAGGACGCAGUUGCGAACGGGCGAGUAACGCGUAGGUAACUGCCUAUCAGAGGGGGAUAAAUAUUGGAAACGAUAGCUAAUACCGCAUACUAGUAGAUGGACCUGCGUUGUAUUAGUUAGUAGGUAGGGUAAUGGCCUACCUAGGCGACGAUACAUAGCCGACCUGAGAGGGUGAUCGGCGACACUGGGACUGAGACACGGCCCAGACUCCUACGGGAGGCAGCGGUAGGGAAUCUUCGGCAAUGGGGGGAACCCUGGCCGAGCAACGCCGCGUAAGUGGAGAGGGUUUUCGGGUCGUAAAGCUUGGUUGUUAAGGACGCGGUACUUAACCAGAAAGGGACGGCUAACUACGUGCCAGCAGCCGCGGUAAUAC
Molecule: ribosomal RNA, 407 nt
Filed under: uncultured bacterium
Lineage: Bacteria
Description: partial 16S ribosomal RNA
Rfam family: Bacterial small subunit ribosomal RNA
Source: RNAcentral